Molecule: long non-coding RNA, 914 nt
Organism: Oryzias latipes (Japanese medaka)
Lineage: Eukaryota; Metazoa; Chordata; Actinopteri; Beloniformes; Adrianichthyidae
Source: RefSeq, a predicted model, not a curated record
CGGAACGUACCAUUGUGGCAGGUGUACGGUGAAGUUUGGGUAAGGAAAACGCUCAACGCACUCAUGACGUACAGGUGAUGCUGUCGUACGGCGUCCUCACGCCACACUCCACACUCCACAAGGUGCGAGUACCAGCUCCUAACUGACUGCACAUGUAACACGGUUGCCAACUCAGGCCAUUGUAUUUUUUCCUUUUUUUUUUCCUUUCCUUCCUCACCUGUUACGUGUGUACGACGUGCCUUGGGUCAUGUGACCCGACUACCCAAUCAGUAAACUUUAUAAGCCGCUACCCCGGAAGCUAUCACAUUCCAUGACAGGAGAGCUGGAUUGAGACGCUACGGGAGCCAACUGCCAGUAUAACACGCCGCGAAUAAGCAGCAUAUUUGGUGCACUUAGUCGCAAUCGGCCAUAGGGAUUGAUGGCGAGCUAAGCCCGAACCUGAUCAAGCGCUGGAGCUCUCUGAAGGAAUCACCUCCUCCCUGUCGUUCAGCCCAGGCUGGUAGGAGGCUCCUGUAGCCUAAUGACUCAUUUAAUCAAUGCAACUGCAUUUCGUCCUACAACCCAGAGACACAAAGACUUUCAAUCACUUCCCAUCACUGAACACUAACCUCCGGAUUCAACUAUUUCUGUCUGGGUUGCAUGGACAAUACAUGAGCUGAUGAUAUUGAGUCGGAUACGACGGAUCACUCACUGAACCGUCCAUCUGUACAUAAUCUUUGUAAAGGAUAUCCUGGAAUAAUUUGAAAUAUUCUUUUGUAAUAUUGGUGUAUGGUGUAUGUUUAUGUGUGUGUCAAAAAAUACAUGGUACCAUUCAUAGCAAACCUACAGUCUCCAGUCUCUGCCUCCUCUCUCCCUGAGCCGUCCCUGUUCUUCUGACUCUAGUCCACGAUAGAUAUGCUACACACACACACGCA